This 230-nucleotide long non-coding RNA is filed under the name Ananas comosus (pineapple). RNAcentral describes it as "long non-coding RNA (ACOM_LNC025925)". The record is from RNAcentral. Lineage: Eukaryota; Viridiplantae; Streptophyta; Magnoliopsida; Poales; Bromeliaceae.
AUUCAGGUUCCUUUUCAAUACUUUUUUUUUUUUUUUAGAAAUAGAUAGCACGUUAUCUAUUUUACUUAUUUUAUUUAAAAAUAAACUUAGCUGGAAAUGUGAAUCAAUUACGAUUUGAUCUUAGGAUCUCGGAUACCAACCAUCAAAUUCUUUGCUACUUGCUCUGGGAACAGUCAGUUUCUAUUCAAUACUUAUGUUUCCUUUUAUUCGAGAAUAAAAAAGUAAUUUUU